CUUCACCGACCCGAGCAGCAGCGGACGCUCCGGAUCGCGGUCACGCCCGUACGUGGCCAGCAGCGCCUGCGCCUC
This 75-nucleotide antisense RNA is filed under the name Streptomyces sp. MnatMP-M17. Its description in RNAcentral is "ASpks TB sRNA". It matches the Rfam family "ASpks TB sRNA". Lineage: Bacteria; Bacillati; Actinomycetota; Actinomycetes; Kitasatosporales; Streptomycetaceae. The record is from Rfam by way of RNAcentral.